AGAGUCAUGACCCACACAUGCAGCUGGAUUCCAAACAGUCUGCUGCAGCAGUCUCCGAGUUCAGGGAGCUGAAGUAGGAGAGCGAGCCCAGGCUCCGGAACACCCCUGGCCCGUUUCUCCUGCACUGCAGAACCUCCUCACAGCUUUCCUGGUCAUCAGACAGGUGCUGCCUGGAGGGCAGGGUCUACAUCAUUUUGCCUGCUGCACUGACCAGCCCAGGAAGACUUCCAAAACAUCUGUGGCUCCAACAAAUAAGCGAGUGAAUGAGAGAGAAGAGUAAGAGAAUUCUUCUUGGGAAAAAGAGUCCGCAUCUCUGAAGGCCUGGGAAAGCAUGAGGUGCCUCAGACAGCCUGUGCUGGCCUUGCAAGGUUUGACUUUCCUCCUCCAAAGCUCAUCAAGCCCACCGUGUGA
This 411-nucleotide long non-coding RNA is filed under the name Dasypus novemcinctus (nine-banded armadillo). RNAcentral describes it as "lncRNA (ENSDNOG00000052901.1)". The record is from RNAcentral. Lineage: Eukaryota; Metazoa; Chordata; Mammalia; Cingulata; Dasypodidae.